Molecule: ribosomal RNA, 523 nt
Filed under: uncultured Aeromonas sp.
Lineage: Bacteria; Pseudomonadati; Pseudomonadota; Gammaproteobacteria; Aeromonadales; Aeromonadaceae
Description: bacterial SSU rRNA
Rfam family: Bacterial small subunit ribosomal RNA
Source: RNAcentral
UUACUGGGCGUAAAGCGCACGCAGGCGGUUGGAUAAGUUAGAUGUGAAAGCCCCGGGCUCAACCUGGGAAUUGCAUUUAAAACUGUCCAGCUAGAGUCUUGUAGAGGGGGGUAGAAUUCCAGGUGUAGCGGUGAAAUGCGUAGAGAUCUGGAGGAAUACCGGUGGCGAAGGCGGCCCCCUGGACAAAGACUGACGCUCAGGUGCGAAAGCGUGGGGAGCAAACAGGAUUAGAUACCCUGGUAGUCCACGCCGUAAACGAUGUCGAUUUGGAGGCUGUGUCCUUGAGACGUGGCUUCCGGAGCUAACGCGUUAAAUCGACCGCCUGGGGAGUACGGCCGCAAGGUUAAAACUCAAAUGAAUUGACGGGGGCCCGCACAAGCGGUGGAGCAUGUGGUUUAAUUCGAUGCAACGCGAAGAACCUUACCUGGCCUUGACAUGUCUGGAAUCCUGCAGAGAUGCGGGAGUGCCUUCGGGAAUCAGAACACAGGUGCUGCAUGGCUGUCGUCAGCUCGUGUCGUGAGAU